UCCGUAGGGUGAACCUGCGGAGGGAUCAUUACACAAUAACCAGGCGGGCUGGACACCCCCCGCUGGGCACUGCUUCACGGCGUGCGCGGCGGGGCCGGCCCUGCUGAAUUAUUCACCCGUGUCUUUUGCGUACUUCUUGUUUCCUGGGUGGGCUCGCCCGCCCUCAGGACCAACCACAAACCUUUUGCAAUAGCAAUCAGCGUCAGUAACAACGUAAUUAAUUACAACUUUCAACAACGGAUCUCUUGGUUCUGGCAUCGAUGAAGAACGCAGCGAAAUGCGAUACGUAGUGUGAAUUGCAGAAUUCAGUGAAUCAUCGAAUCUUUGAACGCACAUUGCGCCCUUUGGUAUUCCAAAGGGCAUGCCUGUUCGAGCGUCAUUUGUACCCUCAAGCUUUGCUUGGUGUUGGGCGUCUUUUGUCUCCAGUUCGCUGGAGACUCGCCUUAAAGUCAUUGGCAGCCGGCCUACUGGUUUCGGAGCGCAGCACAAGUCGCACUCUUCGCCAGCCAAGGUCAGCGUCCAGCAAGCCUUUUUUUCAACCUYUGACCUCGGAUCAGGUAGGGAUACCCGCUGAACUUAAGCA
This 583-nucleotide ribosomal RNA is filed under the name Alternaria sp. E-000535840. RNAcentral's name for it is "eukaryotic LSU rRNA". The stretch from base 226 to 379 matches the Rfam family "5.8S ribosomal RNA". Lineage: Eukaryota; Fungi; Ascomycota; Dothideomycetes; Pleosporales; Pleosporaceae. The record is from RNAcentral.